AUUGAACGCUGGCGGCAGGCCUAACACAUGCAAGUCGAGCGGAUGAGUGGAGCUUGCUCCAUGAUUCAGCGGCGGACGGGUGAGUAAUGCCUAGGAAUCUGCCUGGUAGUGGGGGACAACGUUUCGAAAGGAACGCUAAUACCGCAUACGUCCUACGGGAGAAAGUGGGGGAUCUUCGGACCUCACGCUAUCAGAGGAGCCUAGGUCGGAUUAGCUAGUUGGUGAGGUAAAGGCUCACCAAGGCGCCGAUCCGUAACUGGUCUGAGAGGAUGAUCAGUCACACUGGAACUGAGACACGGUCCAGACUCCUACGGGAGGCAGCAGUGGGGAAUAUUGGACAAUGGGCGAAAGCCUGAUCCAGCCAUGCCGCGUGUGUGAAGAAGGUCUUCGGAUUGUAAAGCACUUUAAGUUGGGAGGAAGGGCAGUAAGUUAAUACCUUGCUGUUUUGACGUUACCAACAGAAUAAGCACCGGCUAACUUCGUGCCAGCAGCCGCCGUAA
Molecule: ribosomal RNA, 500 nt
Filed under: uncultured bacterium
Lineage: Bacteria
Description: partial 16S ribosomal RNA
Rfam family: Bacterial small subunit ribosomal RNA
Source: RNAcentral